UGAAAUACAGGUUCUCAUACAAUCACUGAAGUUAAGCCAAGUCGAGCCUGGUCAGUACUUAGAUGCAUUACUGCCUGGGAUACCAGGUGCUGUAAG
Acanthosepion pharaonis is the source of this 96-nucleotide non-coding RNA. The record is from the annotation of a GenBank genome assembly. Lineage: Eukaryota; Metazoa; Mollusca; Cephalopoda; Sepiida; Sepiidae.